RNAcentral lists this long non-coding RNA (1226 nucleotides) under Homo sapiens (human). The record is from RNAcentral. Lineage: Eukaryota; Metazoa; Chordata; Mammalia; Primates; Hominidae.
CUGCAGGUUCCGGGAGGUCAGCUCCCAGCCGAGGACGUCGGAUGUCAUCGUCCUUGCUGCUUUGCCACCCCAUUCCCGUCAAUAAAGUGGUUUGAACCCAACCCUGGUGUCGGUGUGUGUCGUUGGCGACGCGCUGUCUUUGAGCCCCCGCCGAGCUUCCUCGUGGCGCCGGGGGUCAAUCUGCAGCGCUAGAGCAUGUGCUUGCGCAUAACUGGGGCCGCCUGGCCUCCCGCGGGCGGCCUUUUUAACCGCGAGCGACAAGAAGUAACCUGACUGUCCGGCUGCUAGGCUGGGCAAUUUUCCAGCUGUUUUGCCACGACAGGCCUCAAUCCGUAAUACCAAGGCUGGAAUGGCGUGUUAGGGGGGCGGUGGCUGACGGGGAUACGCGGACUCUUGAUGCGUAAGGAGUGCCCCUCUGCUCCCAUACGUUCCCCAGCCCAGCCUUCCCUGAGUGUAUCGCGCGCGCUGUGCCUUCGCCGUGAGUUCGACAUAAGUCCCAGGCUGUCGCGUCUGCCAUCAGACGCGCAGAUUUAGUUGAAGGCAGCGUGGAAUGGCGUCUGCAGGGCUGUUGUGUACUUGACAUAAACAGAUUCGGUGUGGAACUGCAUUGAGUUAACUCCUGACUAAAGGGUAAUCGACCUGUUUACAAAUAACCAUGCAGGAGUACUGACAAGCAUGGGACUAAAGCUUUGGGCAGGUUAAUCUGUCACUCCUAAACAGUUCAAAAUUAUAGGGCGGUUGUGAAGGUGAAUUAGAUUUUAUAUAUGGUUGGGGACAACAUAGACACCUAGUUACACAGUCCAGAUUCAGUGAUUGGUAAAAGAUCUUCCACAAGGGCUCCAGUGAAAGGUGCAUCAGUUCUGAGUACAGGGCAGCAAUGGUGGGCAAGGAUGCACGUAUGCGUUCACUACAUGGACAUUCGAUGAAUGAAGGUGUCCCGAAUUAACAUUAUACUAGACAAUGAAGGGUGUAAACUGCAGCCCAGGAGCACCACUGCCCUACCCCCUCAGUUACGAACUUUCACUGGAUUCUUUAAAUGUGGGCUGAAGAUAAUGGCACAUAGUUUGAAGGAUGUAGUGAGGAUGGCUUUGUAGCCUUAGGACUGGGCAGUGAUCAACGCAGUAAAUGAAAGCUGCGAUUGCCAGGUGAGGGCCCCGGUGCUCUGUACUCAUUUUAUUGUGCCCCUAUCUGAACAGGAUUCCGUAGAAAUGACUUAGAUGCUUAUC